RNAcentral lists this ribosomal RNA (465 nucleotides) under uncultured bacterium. Its description in RNAcentral is "partial 16S ribosomal RNA". It matches the Rfam family "Bacterial small subunit ribosomal RNA", at positions 338 to 795 of the family's 1533-position model. The record is from RNAcentral.
CCUACGGGAGGCUGCAGUGGGGAAUCUUCCACAAUGGACGAAAGUCUGAUGGAGCAACGCCGCGUGAGUGAAGAAGGGUUUCGGCUCGUAAAGCUCUGUUGGUAGUGAAGAAAGAUAGAGGUAGUAACUGGACUUUAUUUCACGGUACUUACUUAGAAAGUCACGGCUAACUACGUGCCAGCAGCCGCGGUACUACGUAGGUGGCAAGCGUUGUCCGGAUUUAUUGGGGGUAAAGCGAGUGCAGGCGGGUUAAUAAGUCUGAUGUGAAAGCCUUCGGCUUAACCGAAGAACUGCAUCAGAAACUGUUGAACUUGAGUGCAGAAGAGGAGAGUGGAAUUCCAUGUGUAGCGGUGGAAUGCGUAGAUAUAUGGAAGAACACCAGUGGCGAAGGCGGCUCUCUGGUCUGCAACUGACGCUGAGGCUCGAAAGCAUGGGUAGCGAACAGGAUUAGAUACCCUUGUAGUC